AGCUCUGGCAUUUUAUAGUCCUUGUGUUCCCCAAAGAAUUAGGAGUUGUCUAACUACAACCUGGAAGAAAUGCAAAAAUAGUCAAAUGCCGACUCCAGAAGUUAUGGCUGGAGAAUGCUAAUACAUCUGGCACUUACUGAGCACACAGCACCUUUAGGUGGGGUACAUGACGUGUUUAUAAAAGAUGUCAUCGACUUCUGCCACAGCUUCAGCGUUGAACCUGAGCAGCAAGAGAGACCAAGACACCUGGGGAGUUCCCUUAGCCUGAUCUUGCUGCUGGUAUCUUGCAGGAGGAACUCUUCCAAAAGCAAAAGGGAAAAUCCCUUUGUGACCUGGUUUUGGAAAUUAUAUUUUUGUGAAGCCCAGAAGCUCAGUGAUCGUCGUGCCGGAAAACACUGGCUUUGUGCAGAUGUGAGUGGGAAG
Long non-coding RNA from Mauremys mutica (yellowpond turtle), 423 nucleotides. RefSeq lists it as uncharacterized. NCBI's taxonomy places the organism in Eukaryota, Metazoa, Chordata, Testudines, Geoemydidae. The record is from RefSeq and is a predicted model, not a curated record. The transcript is spliced from 3 exons.